UUUAAAAUUUUAAUCGAUAAACUUUUGUGAUCAGUCUCGAAAGAUACUCGUAGAAAAAUAUGCAAUUGAAUGAUAUAAGUAAAAUGAUUCCGCUUAUUGAAAAAUUAUUGAAACAUUGAAUGCUGCGACAAGUAUUUUGCGGAGAAAAGUAAUUGAACAAAUAGAAGACUGGAGGCUGAUUUCGAAUCCGAUUUUCAAUCGAAAGUUACGCGAGUGACGAGAAAAUUUCUCGAUGGUUCUUCGUGGUUUGCUGGCACCAGCGGCGGCGCGAUGGACACGAAAUAAAACAAGGGGUCAAGAGAAGCAGGCUGCUGGACAGUUAGGAUUAUCACGUUAUGGACCGCAGGUGAUGAGUGUAUUGUGUUUAUGCACCACAGUACAUCAGACCAGUCAGAACAACAAUCAAGCAAGCAAAAUACUUUCAAACACAUCACCAAUCUCAUCUGAAGAAGAAAAUAUAAACUCGUUGCAGGAAAUACCCACCGACGAACUGGCUCUAUUAGCUAAGCUGGAGGAAGCCAAUAGGCUUAUCGAAUCGGAUGCAAAAUCGUUGAAUUCGCUCCAAAGUAAUCACAGUAGGAAAGGUUCUGACACAUCUCAAGUAUCUGUGGCGUCGGGGGGCAGCGGAGGAAAUGGCGAUGCUGCACCCCGACGCCACAAUUCAGCUGAUGGUGAAGAGAACACAUGGACCCUAUGGGGUCAUAUCGUCGCUGAUUGGGAUUAUCAUUGGAAGAAGAGGAAAGAAUUCGUCAAAGAAUUAGUGCGUCAAGGAAUACCUCAUCAUUUUAGAGGUAUUGUUUGGCAGUUAUUAAGUGGUGCUCAUGACUCUCCUGUGAAAAAACAAUUCGCUGAGUAUAUCAAGGCCACGUCCGCAUGCGAAAGGAUAAUCAGAAGGGAUAUAGCCAGAACGUAUCCUGAGCAUGAUUUUUUUAAGGAAAAAGAUGGGCUUGGCCAGGAAAGUUUAUUUAAUGUUAUGAAAGCAUAUAGUCUUCAUGAUCGUGAAGUGGGAUAUUGUCAAGGUUCGGGAUUUAUUGUAGGAUUACUUCUUAUGCAGCAAAUGCCAGAAGAAGAAGCUUUCGCUGUACUGGUAGCGCUUAUGCAAGAGUAUCGUUUGCGAGACAUGUUCAAGCCGAGUAUGGCUGAAUUAGGGGUGUGCAUGUAUCAGCUAGAACAUUUAGUUGCUGACACGCAUCCCGAGUUACACGCUCAUUUUGCGGCUCAAGGUUUUCAUACAUCGAUGUACGCAUCGUCUUGGUUUCUUACGCUUUUUACUACAACGCUCAGUCUAUCGCUGGCCUGCCGCAUUUUUGACGUGUUUCUAUCUGAAGGCAUGGAAAUUAUUUUCAAAGUUGCACUGGCCAUGUUACAUUUAGGCAAAGAAGAUUUAUUAAGCUUGGACAUGGAAGGCAUGUUGAAGUUCUUUCAGAAACAAUUACCUGGAAGAGCAGAGAAAGAUCCUGAUGGCCUCAUGAAUCUUGCUUAUAGUAUGAAAAUAAAUUCAAAAAGAAUGAAGAAACUUGAAAAAGAUUAUACCGUGUUGAAAAUGAAAGAGCAAGAAGAGAUGAUUGAGCUCCGUAGACUUAGAGCCGAGAAUAGAUUACUUAGACAAAGAACUGAACUUCUGGAAGCUGAAUCUGCAGAAUUGGCAGAUAGAUUAGUCAGGGGUCAAGUUUCCCGAGCAGAAGAGGAAGAAACUGCUUUCGUUGUACAAAGAGAAUUAGCAGCUCUUCGACAUACUCAUCUUGAAACCAGUCAUCAACUUGAACAAGCUCAUGAAGAAUUGAGAUCAUUGUCGCUUCUACUAGAAGAAAAUGUGACAUCAAAGCAAUCCUCUUUGGAUGAAAUUUUAUUAAAACAGGAAGCAUUGUCGCAAAAAGAAGAAAUGAUACAAUGUUUACAAGAAGAAUUAGUAAAGGUUCGAUUAUAUGAGGCAGAGAAUGAAGCAACGAUAAGAGAACUUAGAGCAAGAAUACAAGAAUUAGAAGAAGAUAAAAAAACAUUACGAGAAACAACACCGGAUAAUUCUGUUGCUCAUUUACAAGAAGAAUUAAUUGCAGUGAAACUAAGAGAAGCAGAAGCUAAUCUUUCUUUAAAGGAUCUUCGGCAAAGAGUAAUGGAAUUAAGCAGUGCCUGGCAAAGGCAUUUGCAAGAACAUCGUUCCGCUCAAACACAACCCGCAAGUGAUUCUACGCCGAAGAAACUUCUAUUUUGGGAGAAUCGGGGACAUGAAGUGCAAAAAUAUGAAGAAGAUUUAAUGACAACCAGAAUUCGAGAAAUGGAAGCUUUAACCGAGGUGAAAGAGCUUAGACUUAAAGUCAUGGAGCUUGAGACUCAAGUACAAGUUGCUACGAAUCAACUACGUCGACAAGACGAAGGUGGAAAAUUCAUUAAGGAUGAAUUAGAAGCUGCCUUAUCAAGAGAGAAAGAACUCACUACUAAAUUACGAGAGCAACAACAUAAAUAUUCUGAUUUAGAAUCAAAGAUGAAGGAUGAAGCUAUGAUGGCUAGGAUACGUGAUGCAGAGCAUGCGCAGCAAGUAGCAGAACUUACGCAAAAAAUAUCUCUCCUUGAGUUAAAAAAUGAAGAAAUGCAUGCGGAAGGUGAACUUAGAAAUAAUUUGGAUGACAGUGAAAGAGUCAGAGAAUUACAAGAUAAAGUUGCAGAAUUAAAAGCUGAGUUCCCUACGCCAAUCACCAGCCCGGAGACUGAGCCUUGGCGCUGGCUCGAGUAAGUCUUUAUCCAUCCGACAAUUCAUCUCAAUCUACAAUCAAGUGCUAUGAGAUUCAGAAAAACAUUAGAAUAACAAAUGUUCUUAUCUUUGAAUUUUGAUAUUCUAAUGUCUUUGGAUUUUUCUUUGAUACCUACACAUUUGUUCCCCCAUUACCUCGAUUUCUUGUGCUGUCUUACAAUUGUACAUGUAGCAGAGCACUCAGUUUGAUUCUCAUUUGGUCAUGAGGCUAGAAAGUUGGAAACAACGUUGGACAGGUCAUGGUGGACAAAAUGUAAGAAGUUUCAGUGUUGACACUGAAAGUGAAUUGGACGAGCGGGAUCUCAGAAUUUGUUUACAGGAUCAUAUCAAUGCGUCUACACAGAAUUCACCAGAGGUAUAGAAAUCCAUGUAUACCAAACAUUAGGCAGCUAAUUAUCUUUUGAACAUACACAGAAGUAUUCCAUUGUCAAAGCAAAUGGAACUUUUUACGUUUCAUGAUCAUGCUUUUCGAUGUAGAAAACGACAAAUUAUAACGCACAUAGAAUAUUAUAAAUCAAGAACACAUAGAGAUAAUAGCGAUAUUAUGUUUUUAGUUAACGUAUAAUAUCACUAUAGCUCGUGAUAUAUUAACAGCAUAGUAGCGAUUAACUAGGUAUAAUCUGGUGGUCAUUAAUAACUCAAUAUAAAACUAUCUGACCCGAAUCGAUUACUGCAAAUAGACUUCGAAAUUUUUGCAAAUAUGCUCUUUUAAUGUAUAAACAGAAUGAUAUUUAAAUAUCUCAAUCUCUCUUAUAAAUACUUUAUUCUGAUAAUCAUAUAUAAUGAUAAUAUUAUGUUUGUGAUUUUUAUUAUUUUAUCUUAAACUUUUAUUGAACUGGGAGCCAUUAUCGAUUUAUUCUAUUGAUUUUUAUGAUCAAUAAUACACAUUUCGAAGUCUGUUUACAAUCGACAAGUACUAUAGAUUAAAUAUAAUUAUGUGACGCAUAAACGACACGUUUUUAUACGUAUUACGCAUUCUGUGUAUUUUUUGUAAUUUAAACCAAAUGUAAUUCCAUUUAAGGAAUUGUAUAUUGAAUAGAAUGAAAUCCGUCAUUGGGAAAAUCAAUAAAUUAUGAUUGUCUUUUGCGAAGGAAAGAAUGAGAGAAAAAAAAAAUGAAAAGACUCAACAAAACAAUCAAAAAAACAUUUUUCCUGAUACGACGGUAUACUUAGAGUCUCAUUAAUGGGUCGCAGUAAUAUAUUACUCCGAUUGUAGAAUUCUACAGAAAAACUAAAACAAUAACAACAAGAACAAAAUACAGACAUGUAAAAUGAUAAAAUGUAUGAGUAUGCCAAAUACUCUAGAUUCAUCAGUAUUCUUAUUGCGAAUAUUUGCAUAUUUGUUAUACGUUCUCGAAAUGAAGAAACGACACGAGAUUGAUUCAAACAUUCAGUUCAACUAUAAAGCAAAGAAUUUUCUUAAAAGCAACAUAAUACAUAAAACAUAUAAACAAUA
Apis dorsata (giant honeybee) is the source of this 4205-nucleotide RNA transcript. It is a transcript of the gene named ecotropic viral integration site 5 ortholog, with no coding region annotated. The transcript is spliced from 11 exons. Lineage: Eukaryota; Metazoa; Arthropoda; Insecta; Hymenoptera; Apidae. The record is from RefSeq and is a predicted model, not a curated record.